UAUUUGAAACAACUGAAUUUGACC
Molecule: non-coding RNA, 24 nt
Filed under: Cricetulus griseus (Chinese hamster)
Lineage: Eukaryota; Metazoa; Chordata; Mammalia; Rodentia; Cricetidae
Source: RNAcentral